UACGUAGGGUGCGAGCGUUGUCCGGAAUUAUUGGGCGUAAAGAGCUCGUAGGCGGUUUGUUGCGUCGGCCGUGAAAACUUGGGGCUUAACUCCGAGCUUGCGGUCGAUACGGGCGGACUCGAGUUCGGCAGGGGAGACUGGAAUUCCUGGUGUAGCGGUGAAAUGCGCAGAUAUCAGGAGGAACACCGGUGGCGAAGGCGGGUCUCUGGGCCGAUACUGACGCUGAGGAGCGAAAGCGUGGGGAGCGAACAGG
This 253-nucleotide ribosomal RNA is filed under the name uncultured bacterium. RNAcentral describes it as "partial 16S ribosomal RNA". It matches the Rfam family "Bacterial small subunit ribosomal RNA", at positions 524 to 776 of the family's 1533-position model. The record is from RNAcentral.